AGGUAGAUAUGAAAAAUGAAGAGUGGGAGUUACUCGACCGUAAAGCCUUAGGUACAAUAAGGCUAACUCUUGCUGCAUUUGUUGCUUUCAAUAUUAGAAAUGAAAAGACAACCGAAAGUUUGAUGGCAGCUUUUUCACAAAUGUAUGAAAAGCCCUCUACAACAAAUAAAGUCCAUCUUAUCAAGAAGCUGUUCAACUUAAAGAUGUCUGAGGGAGGAGUUGCAAUAGAGCAUAUCAACGAUUUUGAUGCACUUAUAAGUCAAUUGGAAUCGGUUGAUAUCUCAUUUGAUGAUGAGGUCAAAGCACUGGUACUGUUAUCAAGUCUU
This 326-nucleotide long non-coding RNA is filed under the name Olea europaea subsp. europaea. The record is from RNAcentral. Lineage: Eukaryota; Viridiplantae; Streptophyta; Magnoliopsida; Lamiales; Oleaceae.